AACGAACGCUGGCGGCGUGGAUAAGACAUGCAAGUCGAACGGGAACUCUCUUGGUAGCAAUACCGAAAGAGUUUCAGUGGCGAACGGGUGCGUAACACGUGGGCAAUCUGCCGAGAAGUGGGGGAUAGCUCGCCGAAAGGCGAAUUAAUACCGCAUAUGAUCAGAGGGGACAUCCCUUCGACAUCAAAGCCGGGGCAACCUGGCGCUUUUUGAGGAGCCCGCGGCCUAUCAGCUAGUUGGUGAGGUAACGGCUCACCAAGGCUAUGACGGGUAGCUGGUCUGAGAGGACGACCAGUCACACUGGAACUGAGACACGGUCCAGACACCUACGGGUGGCAGCAGUCGAGAAUUUUUCUC
Molecule: ribosomal RNA, 357 nt
Filed under: uncultured bacterium
Lineage: Bacteria
Description: bacterial SSU rRNA
Rfam family: Bacterial small subunit ribosomal RNA
Source: RNAcentral